Molecule: ribosomal RNA, 301 nt
Filed under: uncultured bacterium
Lineage: Bacteria
Description: partial 16S ribosomal RNA
Rfam family: Bacterial small subunit ribosomal RNA
Source: RNAcentral
CAGCAGCCGCGGGAAUACGGAGGGUGCAAGCGUUAUCCGGAUUUAUCGGGUUUAAAGGGUCCGUAGGCGGACUUAUAAGUCAGUGGUGAAAGCCUGUCGCUUAACGAUAGAACUGCCAUUGAUACUGUAAGUCUUGAGUAUAUUUGAGGUAGCUGGAAUAAGUAGUGUAGCGGUGAAAUGCAUAGAUAUUACUUAGAACACCAAUUGCGAAGGCAGGUUACCAAGAUAUAACUGACGCUGAGGGACGAAAGCGUGGGUAGCGAACAGGAUUAGAUACCCCCGUAGUCCCUGUCUCUUAUAC